Molecule: transfer RNA, 89 nt
Filed under: Pandoraea pnomenusa
Lineage: Bacteria; Pseudomonadati; Pseudomonadota; Betaproteobacteria; Burkholderiales; Burkholderiaceae
Description: tRNA-Ala(cgc)
Source: RNAcentral
UGGCCGACCGUGCGGCCACGCUCGCCUCGCAGGCGUGCAACAGGCAGACCGGUCUCGGCAUGCGCGCGUUCGAUGAGCGCGUCGCCCAG